Molecule: ribosomal RNA, 253 nt
Filed under: uncultured bacterium
Lineage: Bacteria
Description: partial 16S ribosomal RNA
Rfam family: Bacterial small subunit ribosomal RNA
Source: RNAcentral
GACAGAGGGUGCAAACGUUGUUCGGAAUCACUGGGCGUAAAGGGCGCGUAGGCGGCCCUCCUUGUCGCGUGUGAAAGCCCCGGGCUCAACCUGGGAACGGCGCGCGAGACGGGGGGGCUGGAGUUCGGGAGAGGAGCGUGGAAUUCCCAGUGUAGAGGUGAAAUUCGUAGAUAUUGGGAAGAACACCGGUGGCGAAGGCGGCGCUCUGGACCGAGACUGACGCUGAGGCGCGAAAGCGUGGGGAGCGAACAGG